Small nuclear RNA from Symsagittifera roscoffensis, 134 nucleotides. RefSeq annotates it as U4 spliceosomal RNA. The record is from RefSeq and is a predicted model, not a curated record. The transcript has a single exon. Lineage: Eukaryota; Metazoa; Xenacoelomorpha; Acoela; Convolutidae.
AUCUCUGCGCAGGUGCAGUACUGUAAGCAAUGAGGUUAUCCGAGCUGCAGUUAUUGCUAAUUGAAAACUACUCCCAAUACCCCGCCUAGAUGACCUCAGUGUCGUCUAAGGCAAUUUAUGGGGACCUACAGGUU